This is a long non-coding RNA of Balaenoptera ricei (Rice's whale), 865 nucleotides long. RefSeq lists it as uncharacterized. The transcript is spliced from 4 exons. NCBI's taxonomy places the organism in Eukaryota, Metazoa, Chordata, Mammalia, Artiodactyla, Balaenopteridae. The record is from RefSeq and is a predicted model, not a curated record.
GAAGAGUGCCUUUGGUAAGACCUAGGACAUCUGUGAGCAAAGGCGGACUGACGGAAUGGCAAUAACUUGUCUGGAUGAUUUGAUUUUAUAUACAUGAAUUUCAUCUCCAGUGGCAGCACAGUGACUUGGUCAUAAUAGAUAAAGGAAAAUCUAAAGCUGCCUGGACCUGAGGAUGCUCUUGAUCACAUGGGUUGUAGCCGAGGCUGCGUGUCAAGUGUUUCUGGUCAGAAUCUCCGUGUCCAUGAGGAUCAUCUCCAUCAUCAUCAUCAUCAUCGUCAUUGUAUUGACCAAGAGCAUUCACCAACUCCACAAAAAUUUCAUCAUUUAUAAACCCACAUUCUGAAAUUCAUCAAAUCGAAUAUCAGAAAUACACAAAAGUUCACGCACGCUUUCUGUAAUCGGUAAGAAACAGCUGGAGCCUAUCCAUCAGUACCAUAACAGUAUUAUUAAAAUGCGGUGAGGAAAGAUCAUUUUCAGGACUGGCCUGGGGCAAAGUCGGAAGUAGUACUUAUCCUCAACACCUGUCAUCUUCACACGUUUCCAGUGCCUGCUACGGCAGCCUAAUUCUCUAGAGACUAACCACGGCCUUCGCCUCCUUCCAAGCAAUGCAUCUGCCAGACCCUGCUGUCCACUCGUGACGGGAACAUAUGAGGACGUUACACGUUACCCUCCUGCCAGGAACUUUAACAAGGUCUCCUGUUAAAUCACCGAAGCGGUGAUUCUAAUGACAGGAUUUCAGGUCCUGUGGUUGCCUAGUGGGGAAGGUAUUUUUUGAACAUAGGGCCUUUUGGAGCCCAUGUGACAUAAGCAGAAGCCCUAUUCCUAACUGAUUUUAUUGCUAAAGAAUCUUAAAAUCUACAUACAC